CCUACGGGAGGCAGCAGUAGGGAAUAUUGGACAAUGGACGCAAGUCUGAUCCAGCCAUGCCGCGUGCAGGAAGACGGCCCUAUGGGUUGUAAACUGCUUUUAUACAGGAAGAAUUGUACCUACGUGUAGGUAUUUGACGGUACUGUACGAAUAAGGAUCGGCUAACUCCGUGCCAGCAGCCGCGGUAAUACGGAGGAUCCAAGCGUUAUCCGGAAUCAUUGGGUUUAAAGGGUCCGUAGGCGGUCUUUUAAGUCAGAGGUGAAAUCCUGCAGCUCAACUGUAGCAUUGCCUUUGGUACUGAGAGACUUGAGUUAUUGUGAAGUAGUUAGAAUGUGUAGUGUAGCGGUGAAAUGCAUAGAUAUUACACAGAAUACCGAUUGCGAAGGCAGAUUACUAACAAUAUACUGACGCUGAGGGACGAAAGGGUGGGUAGCGAACAGGAUUAGAUACCCUGGUAGUCCACGCCGUAAACGAUGGAUACUAGCUGUUCGACCAACAUUGGUUGGUUGAGUGGCUAAGCGAAAGUGAUAAGUAUCCCACCUGGGGAGUACGCACGCAAGUGUGAAACUCAAAGGAAUUGACGGA
This 585-nucleotide ribosomal RNA is filed under the name uncultured bacterium. RNAcentral's name for it is "bacterial SSU rRNA". It matches the Rfam family "Bacterial small subunit ribosomal RNA", at positions 338 to 917 of the family's 1533-position model. The record is from RNAcentral.